AGAGUUAAAUAGUACGUGAAAUUGUUGAAAGGGAAACGAUUGAAGUCAGUGUUGCUCUCUGAAAAUCAACUUGUCAGCAAUGGCGGGUGCACUUUUUAGUUGGCAGGUCAACAUUGGUUUGGUUCAGAGGAAAUUAGUAUGGAAAGGUGGCCAGCUCUUCGGAGUUGGUGUUAUAGUCCAUGCAAGUAUUCUGGGCUAGACCAAGGAACGCGAUGUAAGCUUAGCGUGCGAACGCGCCGCUGUGUAGAUUACGCUUGCUGGAUGCUUGCAAACUGUAGGUACAUUCUAUACACUGUCGUGCUAGCAACAUUACAUCUAGGAUGUUGACGAAAUGGUUUUAAACGACC
Molecule: ribosomal RNA, 347 nt
Filed under: uncultured fungus
Lineage: Eukaryota; Fungi
Description: eukaryotic LSU rRNA
Source: RNAcentral